UGGCUCAGGAUGAACGCUGGCGGUGCGCCUAAUACAUGCAAGUCGAGCGAGGGGCAGCAAUGUCCCGAGCGGCGAACGGGUGAGUAACACGUUGGGAACCUACCCUCUAGACCGGGAUACCCUUCCGAAAGGAGGGCUAAUACCGGAUACGACCUUGAGCCGAUGGGCACAAGGUUGAAAGGCGGCUUCACAGCCGCGCAAGAGGAUGGACCUGCGGAUGAUUAGCUAGUUGGCGGGGCAACGGCCCACCAAGGCGAGGAUCAUUAGCCGGACUGAGAGGUCGGCCGGCCACACAGGAACUGAGACACGGUCCUGACUCCUACGGGAGGCAGCAGUGGGGAAUA
Molecule: ribosomal RNA, 344 nt
Filed under: uncultured rumen bacterium
Lineage: Bacteria
Description: bacterial SSU rRNA
Rfam family: Bacterial small subunit ribosomal RNA
Source: RNAcentral